GAUGAGCUUACCCUAGAAGGUAUCAAGCAAUUUCAUGUUAAUGUUGAAAAGGAGGAAUGGAAGCUUGAGACACUAUGCGAUCUGUACGAGACUUUGGCAAUCACCCAAAGUGUCAUCUUUGUGAACACCCGGCGUAAGGUAGAUUGGCUGACAGAUAAGAUGCGUAGUCGUGAUCAUACCGUGUCUGCCACCCACGGUGACAUGGACCAAAACACUAGGGACAUCAUCAUGCGUGAAUUCCGG
RNAcentral lists this long non-coding RNA (243 nucleotides) under Citrus maxima (pomelo). RNAcentral's name for it is "long non-coding RNA (CMAX_LNC001977)". Lineage: Eukaryota; Viridiplantae; Streptophyta; Magnoliopsida; Sapindales; Rutaceae. The record is from RNAcentral.